This 220-nucleotide ribosomal RNA is filed under the name uncultured Glomus. Its description in RNAcentral is "partial small subunit ribosomal RNA". It matches the Rfam family "Eukaryotic small subunit ribosomal RNA", at positions 591 to 817 of the family's 1831-position model. Lineage: Eukaryota; Fungi; Glomeromycota; Glomeromycetes; Glomerales; Glomeraceae. The record is from RNAcentral.
CCAAUAGCGUAUAUUAAAGUUGUUGCAGUUAAAAAGCUCGUAGUUGAAUUUCGGGAUCAGUUGGUCGGUCGUGCCUCGGUACGUACUGGUCAAAUUGAUUCCUACCUUCUGACGAACCACGAUGUCAUUAAUUUGGUGUCGUGGGGAAUCAGGACUGUUACUUUGAAAAAAUUAGAGUGUUUAAAGCAGGCUCGCGCUUGAAUACAUUAGCAUGGAAUAA